This 465-nucleotide ribosomal RNA is filed under the name uncultured bacterium. Its description in RNAcentral is "partial 16S ribosomal RNA". It matches the Rfam family "Bacterial small subunit ribosomal RNA", at positions 338 to 795 of the family's 1533-position model. The record is from RNAcentral.
CCUACGGGUGGCAGCAGUGGGGAAUAUUGCGCAAUGGGCGAAAGCCUGACGCAGCGACGCCGCGUGAGGGAUGAAGGUCUUCGGAUCGUAAACCUCUGUCAGCAGGGAAGAACGGUCACUGUGCUAAUCAGCAGUGAAUUGACGGUACCUGCAAAGGAAGCACCGGCUAACUCCGUGCCAGCAGCCGCGGUAAUACGGAGGGUGCGAGCGUGAAUCGGAAUUACUGGGCGUAAAGCGCACGUAGGCGGUAUGUCAAGUAAAGGGUGAAAUCCCCGCGCUCAACGUGGGAACUGCCUUUGAAACUGGCAAACUGGAGUGUGUGAGAGGAUAGUGGAAUUCCAGGUGUAGGAGUGAAAGCCGUAGAUAUCUGGAGGAACAUCAGUGGCGAAAGCGACUAUCUGGCACAUAACUGACGCUGAGGAGCGAAAGCGUGGGUAGCAAACAGGAUUAGAUACCCUUGUAGUC